CCGGUUCCCGGUCUUGUACACACCGCCGUCACAACCAGUGGGAGCGGGUUUUACCAGAAGUAGGUAGCUUAACCGCAAGGAGGGCGCUUACCGCGGUAGGAUUCGUGACUGGGGUG
This 116-nucleotide ribosomal RNA is filed under the name uncultured bacterium. Its description in RNAcentral is "partial 16S ribosomal RNA". It matches the Rfam family "Bacterial small subunit ribosomal RNA", at positions 1368 to 1482 of the family's 1533-position model. The record is from RNAcentral.